RNAcentral lists this ribosomal RNA (292 nucleotides) under uncultured bacterium. RNAcentral describes it as "partial 16S ribosomal RNA". It matches the Rfam family "Archaeal small subunit ribosomal RNA", at positions 455 to 747 of the family's 1478-position model. The record is from RNAcentral.
GUGCCAGCCGCCGCGGUAAUACCGGCAGCCCAAGUGAUGGCCGUUAUUAUUGGGCCUAAAGCGUCCGUAGCUGGCUGCGCAAGUCCGUCGGGAAAUCCACUCGCCCAACGAGUGGGCGUCCGACGGAAACUGCACAGCUUGGGACCGGAAGGCUCGAAGGGUACGUUCGGGGUAGGAGUGAAAUCCCAUAAUCCCGCACGGACCACCGAUGGCGAAAGCACUCUGAGAAGACGGCUUCGACAGUGAGGGACGAAAGCUCGGGUCUCAAACCGGAUUAGAAACCCGUGUGUCC